GUCUAGCGCCAUACCACCCCGAACAUGCCUGAUCUCGUCUGAUCUCAGAAGCUGGGUGUGCUCUUUGCUACCAGACUGCCUUAGCCC
Molecule: ribosomal RNA, 87 nt
Organism: Ursus americanus (American black bear)
Lineage: Eukaryota; Metazoa; Chordata; Mammalia; Carnivora; Ursidae
Source: Ensembl